GUUGUAGUGCUUACUUGCCCGUUGAGGCCAAGUUUUAGUGAUUGUGUAUGUAUUCUCUACCUAAAGUAUUUUGUUUAUUUGACCUGAAGCAUAACUUACCAGUGAGUAGAACACAUGAGCAAACAGAACCACCAAGGCAAACUGACUGACAGCAUAAACCCAAGCAUAUCGCCUUUGCACCAUAGUUGUUGCUGUCAUGGAUGCAAGGAGACCCAAGAUGCAUGAAAAGGGCAG
RNAcentral lists this unclassified non-coding RNA (234 nucleotides) under Hevea brasiliensis (rubber tree). Lineage: Eukaryota; Viridiplantae; Streptophyta; Magnoliopsida; Malpighiales; Euphorbiaceae. The record is from RNAcentral.